Molecule: ribosomal RNA, 728 nt
Filed under: uncultured bacterium
Lineage: Bacteria
Description: bacterial SSU rRNA
Rfam family: Bacterial small subunit ribosomal RNA
Source: RNAcentral
CAAGUCGAACGCGAAAGCCUCCUUCGGGGGGCAAGUAGAGUGGCGCACGGGUGAGUAACACGUAGGUAAUCUACCUCUGGAUUGGGAAUAACCACCGGAAACGGUGGCUAAUACCGAAUAAUGCAGCGGCACCUAAUGGUGACAGUUGUUAAAGCGGGGGAUCGCAAGACCUCGCGUCUGAAGAGGAGCCUGCGGCAGAUUAGCUAGUUGGUAAGGUAAUGGCUUACCAAGGCUAUGAUCUGUAGCCGGCCUGAGAGGGCGGUCGGCCACACUGACACUGACAUACGGGUCAGACUCCUACGGGAGGCAGCAGUCGGGAAUUUUGGGCAAUGGGCGCAAGCCUGACCCAGCAACGCCGCGUGAAGGAUGAAAUCCCUCGGGAUGUAAACUUCGCAAGAACGGGAAGAAUAAGUAAGGGUUAAUAUCUCUUACGAUGACGGUACUGUUUGUAAGCUCCGGCUAACUCCGUGCCAGCAGCCGCGGUAAUACGGGGGGAGCAAGCGUUGUUCGGAUUUACUGGGCGUAAAGGGCGCGUAGGCGGCCACCGCAAGUCGAUUGUGAAAUCUCCGGGCUUAACCCGGAAAGGUCAACCGAUACUGCGGGGCUAGAGUGCAGAAGGGGCAACUGGAAUUCUCGGUGUAGCGGUGAAAUGCGUAGAUAUCGAGAGGAACACCUGCGGCGAAGGCGGGUUGCUGGCUGACACUGACGCUGAUGUGCGAAAGCUAGGG